GAUGAACGCUGGCGGCGUGCCUAAUACAUGCAAGUCGAGCGAACAGACGAGGAGCUUGCUCCUCUGACGUUAGCGGCGGACGGGUGAGUAACACGUGGAUAACCUACCUAUAAGACUGGGAUAACUUCGGGAAACCGGAGCUAAUACCGGAUAAUAUAUUGAACCGCAUGGUUCAAUAGUGAAAGACGGUUUUGCUGUCACUUAUAGAUGGAUCCGCGCCGCAUUAGCUAGUUGGUAAGGUAACGGCUUACCAAGGCAACGAUGCGUAGCCAACCUGAGAGGGUGAUCGGCCACACUGGAACUGAGACACGGUCCAGACUCCUACGGGAGGCAGCAGUAGGGAAUCUUCCGCAAUGGGCGAAAGCCUGACGGAGCAACGCCGCGUGAGUGAUGAAGGUCUUCGGAUCGUAAAACUCUGUUAUUAGGGAAGAACAAAUGUGUAAGUAACUAUGCACGUCUUGACGGUACCUAAUCAGAAAGCCACGGCUAACUACGUG
Molecule: ribosomal RNA, 497 nt
Filed under: uncultured bacterium
Lineage: Bacteria
Description: partial 16S ribosomal RNA
Rfam family: Bacterial small subunit ribosomal RNA
Source: RNAcentral